This 436-nucleotide ribosomal RNA is filed under the name uncultured Streptococcus sp. Its description in RNAcentral is "bacterial SSU rRNA". It matches the Rfam family "Bacterial small subunit ribosomal RNA", at positions 28 to 454 of the family's 1533-position model. Lineage: Bacteria; Bacillati; Bacillota; Bacilli; Lactobacillales; Streptococcaceae. The record is from RNAcentral.
GAUGAACGCUGGCGGCGUGCCUAAUACAUGCAAGUAGAACGCUGAAGCUUGGUGCUUGCACCGAGCGGAUGAGUUGCGAACGGGUGAGUAACGCGUAGGUAACCUGCCUCUUAGCGGGGGAUAACUAUUGGAAACGAUAGCUAAUACCGCAUAAAAGUCGAUAUCGCAUGAUGUUGAUUUGAAAGGUGCAAUUGCAUCACUAAGAGAUGGACCUGCGUUGUAUUAGCUAGUUGGUGAGGUAACGGCUCACCAAGGCGACGAUACAUAGCCGACCUGAGAGGGUGAUCGGCCACACUGGGACUGAGACACGGCCCAGACUCCUACGGGAGGCAGCAGUAGGGAAUCUUCGGCAAUGGGGGCAACCCUGACCGAGUAACGCCGCGUGAGUGAAGAAGGUUUUCGGAUCGUAAAGCUCUGUUGUAAGAGAAGAACGAGU